Long non-coding RNA from Phragmites australis (common reed), 535 nucleotides. RefSeq lists it as uncharacterized. NCBI's taxonomy places the organism in Eukaryota, Viridiplantae, Streptophyta, Magnoliopsida, Poales, Poaceae. The record is from RefSeq and is a predicted model, not a curated record. The transcript has 3 exons.
AGGGGCAGUGGUCCCCAUCCCCGUCGCCGUCCCGCGGUCUGCGAGGCAAAAGCCAGCGCCUCACCGUCGGGGGCGGUGGCCCCUGCUGAUCCACCUUCCUUGAUUUACACGAUCGCAAGGAGCCUACUGGCUAGACGCGAGGCCAAGCAAACGGGCGAGCGAGCUCCUUGAUUUCCCGGUUCCCGUUGCCCUCGACAUGGCUCCACAGGCAUUGAUGGUGGGGGAGAAUGGAGAGGACCUCGAGGGGCCCAAGGAGUUGCUGCCCCUCUCCAAGCUCGAAGACAAGCCUAAGGAUGUGGAGGAGUAGUGGUGCUAUGGAUUCACGACCUUAUUUCUAUCUUGGAGAUCUGUAGUAGUUCUUCAGGGAAUGGAGUGCUUAUGGGGCCGGUAUUCCAUUGGUGUUAAAUGGCAGUGACUCUGUGAUAUUGUAUUAUGUGCCAUGUUGUCUAGAAAAUUCCCAUUGGAUUAGAACCUUCACAGGUUAACCUGUCUAGCAGAAUAGCUUCAAUUGUCUGUGUCUUUUCUUAUGCUUCAA